GACGAACGCUGGCGGCGUGCUUAACACAUGCAAGUCGAGCGGUAAGUCCCCUUCGGGGGUACACGAGCGGCGAACGGGUGUGUAACACGUCCGCAAUCUGCCCAUCACAUCGGGAUAAUUCCGGGAAACCGAAGCUAAUACCGAAUACGACCACCUCCGGCCUCGGUUGGUGGCGGAAAGUUCCGGCGGUGCUGGGUGAGCUCGCGGCCUAUCAGCUUGUUGGUGGGGUAACGGACCACAAAGGCUUCGACGGGUAGACGGCCUGAGAGGGUGACCGGCCACGCUGGGACUGAGAAACGGCACAGACUCCAACGGGAGGCAGAAGUGGAGAAUGUUGGACAAUGGGCGAAAGCAUGAUCCAGCAACGCCGCGUGAGGGAUGACAGCCUUCGGGUUGUAAACCUCUUUCAGCAGGGACGAAGCGCAAGUGACGGUACCUGCAGAAGAAGCACCGGCCAACUACGUG
Molecule: ribosomal RNA, 465 nt
Filed under: uncultured bacterium
Lineage: Bacteria
Description: partial 16S ribosomal RNA
Rfam family: Bacterial small subunit ribosomal RNA
Source: RNAcentral